CGCGGACGCGAACUUCCGGCGGAAGCGGAAGCGGGCUUUAAAAAAGGCGGGAAAAAAAGGCGCAGGGCGCCGCCAUGACACCCCAGCGCUUCCUUAGGGUUCAUUAAUUGCUUCCCGUUAAUUAACGCCAAUUCGCGUUUAUUUCAUUAGUUCCCAUCAAUUACGGGCUGUUGCUGUCUUUUAUUUCCCAUUUAUUCUCGUUGUUCCCCGUUGGCUCUCGCUACCAUUUGCUGUUCAUUUCUAAUUGCCCAUUAAUUACUAUUGUUUCUUAUUAAUUGCCAUUACUUGCUAUUAAUUUCUAUUAUUGCCAAUUAAUUCUUAUUAUUUCCCGUUAAUUCUUAUUGCUUCCCACUAACUCUCAUUAUUUUCCACAUAAUUGCCAUUAUUUCCCAAUUAAUUGCCUUAUUUCCCAAUUAAUUGCCAUUAUUUCCCAAUUAAUUGCCUUAUUUCCCAAUUAAUUGCCGUUGUUUCCCAAUUAAUUGCCACUAUUUCUCAAUUAAUUGCCAUUAUUUCCCAAUUAAUUGCCAUUAUUUCCCAAUAAAUUGCCUUAUUUCCCAAUUAAUUGGCAUUAAUUCCCAAUUAUUCCCCAUUAAUUCCCCAUCAUUGCCCAUUAAUUCUCAUUAAUUAUCGCUAUUAAUUGCCGUUCCUUCUCGUUUUCUUUUACCAGCCGUAAUUAAUCCUCAUUUUCCCUCAUUAAUUGCUCUUAAUUCUCAUUUCCGCCUCUAAUUCUCGUUCCCAUUAAUCUCCAUCUGCUCCCAUUAAUCCCCAUUAAUUGGGAUUGGUCCCUAUUAAUUCCCAUUAAUGCCUAUUAAUUGUCAUUAACCUCUAUUAAUUCCUAUUAAUCCCUAUUAAUUGGGAUUGAUCUCUAUUAGUUCCCAUUAACAUUAAUGGGAAUUAAUUGCCAUUAACCUCUAUUAAUUGGUAUUAAUCCCUAUUAAUUCCGAUUGAUCUCUAUUAAUUCCCAUUAACCCCCAUUAAUUCGGAUUGAUCUCUAUUAAUGCUAAUUAACUCUUAUUAAUUCCCAUCGGUUCCCGUUGGCUCUCAUUACUUCCCAUUAAUUGUCAUUAAUUCCCCUGUUUUAUGCCUUUAAUUCUCAUUAAUUUCUAUUAGUUCUCAUUAUUUUUUGUCUCAUUAAUUUCCAGAUUACUUCCUGUUAAUUACUGCUAAUUAUGUUCCGUUUGUCUUAAUUCUCGCCCUCAUUACCCCCAUUAUCUCCCAGCGCUCCCACUGAUCUCAAUUAGCAACUGAUCCCAAUUAAUUCCACUCCUACUGCUGCUCAUUAAUGCUCAUUAAUUAUUCUCUCAUUUUUCCCAUUGAUUUCCCACAGCUUAAUCUCAAUUAGUUCUAUUAAUUGUCAUUAUCUCUCAUUAAUACAGAUUAAUCAUUAUUAUUCCGCAUAAUUUCCAUUAGUUCCCAUUGAUUUUUAUUAAUCCCAAUUAAUCCUAUUAGCUCCCAUCGGCUGUCAUUAAUAUUAAUGAAUUAUUCCCCAUUCCUCUCCAUUACUUCCAUUGAUUCUUAUUAAUCGCAAUUAAUUCUAUUAAUUCCCAUCGGCUCUCAUUAAUACCGAUAAAUCAUUAUUAUUCCCCAUUAUCUCCUAUUGCUAUCAUUAAUCCUAAUUAACCCUAUUAACUUUCCUCGGUUCUCAUUAAUAGCGAUAAAUUAUUUCCUAUUACUCUAUUUCUAUUAGCUUCUAUUCGUUCCUAUUAAUCUCAAUUAAUCUUAUUAGCUCGCAUUAGCUCAUUAAUACCGACAACUCAUUAUUAUUCCCCAUUAUUUCCAUUAUUUCCUAUUGACUUUUAUUAACCCCAAUUAAUUCUAUUAACCCCCACCGGCUCUCAUUAGUAGCCAUUAAUUACUCCCCAUUCCUCUCCAUUUGCCAUUGCUUCCUAUUGAUUGCUAUUACCCCCAAUUAAUUCUAUUACCCCCCAUCGGCUCUCAUUAAUAGCCAUUAAUUAUUCCCCAUUACUCUCCAUUAUUUCCAUUGCUUCCUAUUGAUUGCUAUUAACCCCAAUUAAUUCCAUUAACUCCCAUUAGCUCUCAUUAGCACUGAUAACUCAUUAUUACUCCCCAUUAUUUCCCAUUCUGUUCUAUUGGUUUCUAUUAAUGCCAAUUAACCUUAUUAACUCUCAUUGCCUCUCAUUAAUUAUUCCCCAUUACUCUCUAUUAUUUCCAUUGCUUCCUAUUGACUCCUAUUAAUCCCAAUUAAUUCUAUUAACCCCCAUCGGCUCUCAUUAAUAGCCAUUAAUUAUUCCCCAUUCCUCUCCAUUAUUUCCAUUGCUUCCUAUUAAAUCCUAUUAAUCGCAAUUAAUUCUAUUAACCAUUGCUUCCUAUUGAUUGCUAUUAACCCCAAUUAAUUCUAUGAACUCCCAUUAGCUCUCAUUAGCACUAAUAAAUCAUAAUUAUUCCCCA
RNAcentral lists this long non-coding RNA (2409 nucleotides) under Chrysolophus pictus (golden pheasant). Its description in RNAcentral is "lncRNA (ENSCPIG00010006027.1)". Lineage: Eukaryota; Metazoa; Chordata; Aves; Galliformes; Phasianidae. The record is from RNAcentral.